AUACCUUUCUUGGCCUUUUGGCUAAGAUCAAGUGUAGUAUCUUUUCUUAUCAGUUUAAUAUCUUAUACGUGGUUCAUAGAACCACAUGAUAUUAAAUGUAUUUUUCUAGGGGGAGGGCCCACUUACAAUAGCUUUCUAUUGGGGCCAUCGGUCGUGCAUUUCAUUUGGUGGCGUGUUUAUCAG
Picea glauca (white spruce) is the source of this 183-nucleotide non-coding RNA. NCBI's taxonomy places the organism in Eukaryota, Viridiplantae, Streptophyta, Pinopsida, Pinales, Pinaceae. The record is from Rfam.